AAACCAACAGGGAUUGCCUCAGUAACGGCGAGUGAAGCGGCAACAGCUCAAAUUUGAAAUCUGGCCUCCCGGGGUCCGAGUUGUAAUUUGUAGAGGAUGUUUUGGGUACCGCCCCGGUUUAAAUUUCUUGGAACAGAAUGUCAGAGAGGGUGAGAAUCCCGUCUUGGACCGGUGGUAGGGCCUGUGUAAAACUCCUUCGACGAGUCGAGUUGUUUGGGAAUGCAGCUCAAAAUGGGUGGUAAAUUUCAUCUAAAGCUAAAUAUUGGCCAGAGACCGAUAGCGCACAAGUAGAGUGAUCGAAAGAUGAAAAGAACUUUGAAAAGAGAGUUAAACAGUAUGUGAAAUUGUUGAAAGGGAAGCGCUUGCAACCAGACUUGAGCGCGACGGUUCCCCUAGCCUUUUGGCUAGGUUACUCCGUCGUGUCCAGGCCAACAUCGGUUCUGAGGGUCGGUCAAAGGCUCUGGGAAUGUAUCUACCCACGGGUAGACUUAUAGACCAGGGUGUCAUGCGACCUCUCGGGACCGAGGAACGCGCUUCGGCUCGGAUGUUGGCGUAAUGGUUGUCAGCGACCCGUCU
RNAcentral lists this ribosomal RNA (576 nucleotides) under Cladophialophora carrionii. RNAcentral describes it as "partial large subunit ribosomal RNA". It matches the Rfam family "Eukaryotic large subunit ribosomal RNA", at positions 62 to 654 of the family's 3401-position model. The record is from RNAcentral. Lineage: Eukaryota; Fungi; Ascomycota; Eurotiomycetes; Chaetothyriales; Herpotrichiellaceae.